AUGUAAUGUAAUUCCUACAACGUUAAUGCACUGAAUCCCAUUAGAACUGUGUAUUUAAGAGUGCAUGGGACAAAUUUGUAUUGGGAUGGGUGACCUCCUGGGAAGUCUUAGUGUUUUACAUG
This is a non-coding RNA of Picea glauca (white spruce), 122 nucleotides long. The record is from Rfam. Lineage: Eukaryota; Viridiplantae; Streptophyta; Pinopsida; Pinales; Pinaceae.